AGAUAAAAGGAAAACCUUUAUUUCAGAACAUACUCUUUCUAGAGGGGAUUGUAAGGCUAAGAGUAGACAAAUAUUCCUUUCUAACCAAGAGAAUGUAGUCACCCACAACUUAGUUUACUGCUCCACAGUCUUCAGUGCAAAUGAGUAUUGACUAUUCUUGGAACUAAUGCACAUGUAAAUUAAAUGAAAUUGGCCACUUUCUAGAUAUGGAAAAUAUCUGCCAACGUUUGUUUACGUGGAAACUAGUUUUUUUUUUUAAUGCACAGCUUUUAGAAUGGUUGACACGUUUUACAGUAAAAUUGGUUUUACUACAAAAUCAAUAUAGUUUUAGAUUUUAAACAUCAAAUAGAAAUAUCAAUUAUACAGAGCACUUUUAGUGUUCUGGAAAAUUAAUACUUUACAAUAAGUUAAUAUUAUGUAUAAAUCCAUUAGAGGCCUUUCUAUCUUACAUGCAUAUGGCUUAUAUUUUGUAAAAAGUGCUGUGCAUAGAUUGUGGUUUUGAAUUGGUGAUGUUUAAAAGUAUAACAAAUUGAUUGUAAAAACAGCUGACUUCAGUGAACAUCCAGUGUUUUAGACAAUUUACUCAUUUAAUCUUGGAGUAAUUGAGAUUCAUGGAAAGCUGCAAAAAAUAUUCUAAAAAUAAUGGAAUGAACACACUUUUUGUUUAAUUUUGAGGUACAUUUACACAAACAAAAGGAGUCAAUGACUUAUUCCUAUUCAUACAAAAUUAUAACCCCCACUCUGAUUAACUGAUUGGGAUUAUAUUUGUAUGGCACCUUUAACAUGUAGAGCAACAAAGUAUGAUAUUGUGACUUGACAUCCAGGAAUAAGCUGGAGCAAAUGCAAUCAGUGAGGAAACAUAAAAACUGUUGGACUAUGUAGGCUGUGAUUCUGCAGGCAGAUCCUUCCAGUUGUAUAGUGCACCAGUGACUAACUGGAUAGUGUCUUUUUAAACUUUUAA
Long non-coding RNA from Dermochelys coriacea (leatherback sea turtle), 961 nucleotides. RefSeq lists it as uncharacterized. NCBI's taxonomy places the organism in Eukaryota, Metazoa, Chordata, Testudines, Dermochelyidae. The transcript is spliced from 3 exons. The record is from RefSeq and is a predicted model, not a curated record.